Molecule: long non-coding RNA, 844 nt
Organism: Pyrus x bretschneideri (Chinese white pear)
Lineage: Eukaryota; Viridiplantae; Streptophyta; Magnoliopsida; Rosales; Rosaceae
Exons: 7
Source: RefSeq, a predicted model, not a curated record
UUACAGGUUGCAAAGCAAGAGGUUCUCACCUCAAGAUUCAGUUUAAGACCAUCAUGAGGAUCACCACACCCAUGAUCAUGUUCAUGAUCCUGGUGUUUCUUCUGUCAGCAUAGUUUGUGAAGGGAACUUAGAACUUGAAAAGGCUAACGUAUGGCUUGGUACACUGUUGUUGAAACGAAGUGAGGACAUAUAUCGUAUGAAAGGUCUUCUAUCAGUUCAAGGAAUGAAAAAGAGAUUUGUCUUCCAGGGUUUAGGUGCUCUGAAAAUGCCCACCCUUAUUUUUUUUACACCAAGUGUAUAUGGCAACCCAGGCAUUCCAACUUGCUCAGGGAAAUACUUCAUUUAAGGAAAAGCCUGAAAUAAUGUUGUCAAGUGCUAUACUGAAGCUAUCAGAUUGAACAUGAUGUGUGCAACUUAGAUUGCAACCAUGCAAUUGCUUACUUGGAGUUUCUAAUUCACAAACUGAGUGAAGGUCACAAUAAGUAUUAGUCACUACGAGAGUGUUGGACUAUCCUCAUUCUGGAACCAGGUUUAAGAGGCCCCUGACAAUGACAUUGAAACGGUAUCAGUAGUUCCUCUCUUUUUAAUAGAGUGAUUCCCUUUCUUGGGCAUGUAAAAUCUUGGUGUCUGUAAAUAUACACAUCACAUGACUUUUAACACAAGUCUUGCUUCUAUCAUUUGAUGUUACAGUGGGUAAGCUCUGAAUUUAAUGAAUUGUUCAACUUUGAAUUUAAUGAAUUGUGGUGUUUUAUCUUCUGAAUUUCUAACCUAUUAAUAUUGGAAGACCUAAAAGAUUAUUCCAAUGUAUUGUUUCUGGAUUUAUUCAAAUUAGUAGUGAAAUGAU